This 407-nucleotide ribosomal RNA is filed under the name uncultured bacterium. RNAcentral describes it as "partial 16S ribosomal RNA". It matches the Rfam family "Bacterial small subunit ribosomal RNA", at positions 30 to 526 of the family's 1533-position model. The record is from RNAcentral.
AUUGAACGCUGGCGGCAGGCCUAACACAUGCAAGUCGAACGCAGUUGCGAACGGGUGAGUAACGCGUAGGUAACUGCCUCAUAGCGGGGGAUAACUAUUGGAAACGAUAGCUAAUACCGCAUACUGUGAGAUGGACCUGCGUUGUAUUAGCUAGUUGGUGAGGUAAAGGCUCACCAAGGCGACGAUACACAGCCGACCUGAGAGGGUGGUCGGCCCCACUGGGACCGAGACACGGCCCAGACUUCCACGGGAGGCAGCAGGAGGGAAUCUUCGGCAAUGGACGGAAGUCUGACCGAGGAACUCCGCGGGAGUUAAGAAGGUUUUCGGAGCGUAAAGCUCUGUUGUUAGAGAAGCGGUAACUACACAGAAAGGGACGGCUAACUACGUGCCAGCAGCCGCGGUAAUUC